GAUGAACGCUGGCGGCGUGCCUAAUACAUGCAAGUCGAGCGAACGGACGAGAAGCUUGCUUCUCUGAUGUUAGCGGCGGACGGGUGAGUAACACGUGGAUAACCUACCUAUAAGACUGGGAUAACUUCGGGAAACCGGAGCUAAUACCGGAUAAUAUUUUGAACCGCAUGGUUCAAAAGUGAAAGACGGUCUUGCUGUCACUUAUAGAUGGAUCCGCGCUGCAUUAGCUAGUUGGUAAGGUAACGGCUUACCAAGGCAACGAUGCAUAGCCGACCUGAGAGGGGGGUCGGCCAACACGGAACUGAGACACGGUCCAGACUCCUACGGGAGGCAGCAGUAGGGAAUCUUCCGCAAUGGGCGAAAGCCUGACGGAGCAACGCCGCGUGAGUGAUGAAGGUCUUCGGAUCGUAAAACUCUGUUAUUAGGGAAGAACAUAUGUGUAAGUAACUGUGCACAUCUUGACGGUACCUAAUCAGAAAGCCACGGCUAACUACGUG
This 497-nucleotide ribosomal RNA is filed under the name uncultured bacterium. RNAcentral describes it as "partial 16S ribosomal RNA". It matches the Rfam family "Bacterial small subunit ribosomal RNA", at positions 28 to 507 of the family's 1533-position model. The record is from RNAcentral.